Molecule: transfer RNA, 95 nt
Filed under: candidate division NC10 bacterium RIFCSPLOWO2_02_FULL_66_22
Lineage: Bacteria; Methylomirabilota (SeqCode)
Also listed under: 1 other name
Description: tRNA-Sec
Rfam family: Selenocysteine transfer RNA
Source: RNAcentral
GGAGGCGGAUUGGGCCUGGUGGCCCUCCUGGUCUUCAAAACCAGUGUGGCGCCUAACCCGUGCUAGGUGGGUUCGAUUCCCACACGCCUCCGCCA